RNAcentral lists this ribosomal RNA (395 nucleotides) under Ablepharus pannonicus. RNAcentral's name for it is "partial large subunit ribosomal RNA". It matches the Rfam family "Bacterial large subunit ribosomal RNA", at positions 1965 to 2572 of the family's 2925-position model. Lineage: Eukaryota; Metazoa; Chordata; Lepidosauria; Squamata; Scincidae. The record is from RNAcentral.
UCACUUGUCUUCUAAAUAAAGACCAGUAUGAAUGGCUAAAUGAGGACAGACCUGUCUCCUGCACCCAAUCAGUGAAAUUGAUCUUCUGGUCCAAAAGCCAGAAUAAUAUCAUAAGACGAGAAGACCCUGUGGAGCUUAAAAUUUAAUGCUAUUUUAAAACUAGCACGCAUUUUAAGUUGGGGCGACUUCGGAACAAAAUAAAACUUCCGAGCAAGGAGCCACCCACUCCUAAUAAGGCCCACACGCCACCACAACAGACCCAGUCACACUGAUCAACGAACCAAGUUACCCCAGGGAUAACAGCGCAAUCCCCUUCAAGAGUCCAUAUCGACAGGGGGGUUUACGACCUCGAUGUUGGAUCAGGACACCCAGAUGGUGCAGCCGCUAUCAAAGGU